Molecule: ribosomal RNA, 458 nt
Filed under: Cercospora mikaniae
Lineage: Eukaryota; Fungi; Ascomycota; Dothideomycetes; Mycosphaerellales; Mycosphaerellaceae
Description: eukaryotic LSU rRNA
Rfam family: 5.8S ribosomal RNA (bases 165-318)
Source: RNAcentral
CCUGCGGAGGGAUCAUUACUGAGUGAGGGCCUUCGGGCUCGACCUCCAACCCUUUGUGAACACAACUUGUUGCUUCGGGGGCGACCCUGCCGUUUCGACGGCGAGCGCCCCCGGAGGCCUUCAAACACUGCAUCUUUGCGUCGGAGUUUAAGUAAAUUAAACAAAACUUUCAACAACGGAUCUCUUGGUUCUGGCAUCGAUGAAGAACGCAGCGAAAUGCGAUAAGUAAUGUGAAUUGCAGAAUUCAGUGAAUCAUCGAAUCUUUGAACGCACAUUGCGCCCUUUGGUAUUCCGAAGGGCAUGCCUGUUCGAGCGUCAUUUCACCACUCAAGCCUAGCUUGGUAUUGGGCGCCGCGGUGUUCCGCGCGCCUCAAAGUCUCCGGCUGAGCUGUCCGUCUCUAAGCGUUGUGAUUUCAUUAAUCGCUUCGGAGCGCGGGCGGUCGCGGCCGUUAAAUCUU